UGCAAGUCGAACGGUAACAGGGGUAGCAAUACCUGCUGACGAGUGGCGCACGGGUGAGUAACGCGUAUGCAACCUGCCCUGUACUGGGGGAUAGCUCGGAGAAAUCCGGAUUAAUACCCCAUAAUGAUAGAGACGGGCAUCUGUUUUUAUUUAAAGCUUUGGCGGUACAGGAUGGGCAUGCGUGCCAUUAGUUAGUUGGUGAGGUAACGGCUCACCAAGACGAUGAUGGCUAGGGGGUCUGAGAGGAUGGUCCCCCACACUGGUACUGAGACACGGACCAGACUCCUACGGGAGGCAGCAGUGAGGAAUAUUGGUCAAUGGACGCAAGUCUGAACCAGCCAUGCCGCGUGCAGGAUGACGGCCCUAUGGGUUGUAAACUGCUUUUGUAUGGGAAGAAACCCCUGAUCGUGAUCAGGGCUGACGGUACUGUACGAAUAAGCAUCGGCUAACUCCGUGCCAGCAGCCGCGGUAAUACGGAGGAUGCAAGCGUUAUCCGGAUUUAUUGGGUUUAAAGGGUGCGUAGGCGGGGUAGCAAGUCAGUGGUGAAAGUCUGCGGCUUAACUGUAGAAUUGCCGUUGAUACCGUUACUCUUGAAUUCAGUUGAGGCAGGCGGAAUGUGUAAUGUAGCGGUGAAAUGCAUAGAUAUUACACAGAACACCGAUUGCGUAGGCAGCUUGCUAAACUGAGAUUGACGCUGAGGCACGAAAGCGUGGGGAGCAAACAGGAUUAGAUACCCUGGUAGUCCACGCCGUAAACGAUGAUUACUGGAUGUGUGCGAUACACUGUACGCGUCUGAGUGAGAGCAUUAAGUAAUCCACCUGGGGAGUACGAUCGCAAGAUUGAAACUCAAAGGAAUUGACGGGGGCCCGCACAAGCGGAGGAACAUGUGGUUUAAUUCGAUGAUACGCGAGGAACCUUACCUGGGCUUAA
RNAcentral lists this ribosomal RNA (930 nucleotides) under uncultured Rikenellaceae bacterium. Its description in RNAcentral is "bacterial SSU rRNA". It matches the Rfam family "Bacterial small subunit ribosomal RNA", at positions 56 to 984 of the family's 1533-position model. Lineage: Bacteria; Pseudomonadati; Bacteroidota; Bacteroidia; Bacteroidales; Rikenellaceae. The record is from RNAcentral.